This 253-nucleotide ribosomal RNA is filed under the name uncultured bacterium. RNAcentral describes it as "partial 16S ribosomal RNA". It matches the Rfam family "Bacterial small subunit ribosomal RNA", at positions 524 to 776 of the family's 1533-position model. The record is from RNAcentral.
UACGAAGGGGGCUAGCGUUGCUCGGAAUCACUGGGCGUAAAGCGCACGUAGGCGGCUUUUUAAGUCAGGGGUGAAAUCCUGGAGCUCAACUCCAGAACUGCCUUUGAUACUGAAAAGCUUGAGUCCGGAAGAGGAGUGUGGAAUUCCCGGUGUAGCGGUGAAAUGCGCAGAUAUCGGGAAGAACACCCGUGGCGAAGGCGGCACUCUGGGACGGUACUGACGCUGAGACGCGAAAGCGUGGGGAGCGAACAGG